Non-coding RNA from Coturnix japonica (Japanese quail), 1455 nucleotides. Lineage: Eukaryota; Metazoa; Chordata; Aves; Galliformes; Phasianidae. The record is from RefSeq and is a predicted model, not a curated record.
GCUCCAAGAUGGCCGUGCAGCACAAUGCAGCUCGGCCCCAGCCGCACCGCCCCACCGGGGAGCGGCCUGAGCAGCACGGCGCUGUGCAGCGGGAGGAACGGCCGGGAAGGGAGAAGGGAACCGGGAGCCACGAGGCGGCUGCGCGGAACAUUCUGGUUCUCAGGGGGAAGGAUCGCACGGAGCCAUCCCGGAGCGGCCGCGAGGUGCUGAGGAAGGACGGGAGGCCGCGGCGAUGCCGAAGGAAAAACUACUGAAGUAUGGUGGGAAAAGAAGAAAAACGAAAUGGACAGCAGCCAUGGAAAGGCGCUUUCUCUGACUAUGGGAAACAGGAGAGGUCAGAAAAACAGUGUAGUAGAAGGAAUGCAGCCAUACUGGAGCAAGUGCAGCAAACAGCCAAAAAGAUGAUGGAUGGAUUGAAGCAUCUGCUGAGCACACAAGAAGUUGGGGAAUCUUGCCAUGUUUAAUCUCCAGAAGAGAUAUGUCAGGAGGAAUCUUAUAAAUGUGCCUAAAUAUCUGGUGAGGAAGGUGGGAGGAGGUACAGACAGCUGAACCAGCCUCUUGUGAGCAAUAUGUAGUGGAAGAACGAAAGGAAGGAAGUAGAAAAUGAAAUACAAGGUAUUCCACUUGACCACAAGGGAAAACCAAACCAAAACAACAAAAUCACUACUAAAUCCCACUCUUCUUUACUCAGUGAUGGCUCACUGAAACAAGUGACCCAGCGAGGUUCCCAGAGGGAGUAUUUCCCCAGCUGAACUUGGUUAAUAAUUUUACUGCAGUUCCAUGCCUCAGAGCAACAACCUCAUCCUUUCUGACAGAACAUUGUUUGCUGCCCUCAAAGCCACGACGACAAUCAGCUGCUCUGACACAAUCCUCACAGGAACAAAUCUGCUGAUCAAUUGAGUAAAGUACAUAGUGAAAUCUCGACUCCAGUGAAGUCAUUGGGAGAUUUGCCACUAACUACUGGGAAAGCCAGGUUUGAGCCAUUUGUCUCUCUCAGGAAAGCUACUAUUUUAACUAUUAAAAGUUAUAUUCUAGUUAGAAAAGACUACAGAUGUGUUAAUUACACAUUCUGCCUUCGUAAAUGGGAAACGUGCUGGUACAAUAAUUCGGACAAGGGAGCUUAAAUGCUUGAAGUAUGCUCAGUGAUAGAUCACCUUCAAGUCUACCUUAGAACAUACUGCAAAUCCUUCAACUGACCUUAUUUUACUCAUUUUACUUAUUUUACUCUAAGCUUAAUGAAACUCACACUUGUAGUUCAGUGUUGUAGUUUCAACACAAGUGUUUCUCAAGUUCCUUAGAUGAAAACAAUGAUUUAAAGCACUGAAAUCCUCCCAAAAAAGGACUUGGGCUGAAGUCAAUGAAAGGCAUUUUGAUGUAGAAUUAUAAGGAAAACGAUAUCAAGUGGCUUAACUCUUCAUGAUCACCACAUUCCUGAGGGUGUGUGAUUACCUGUGU